This 756-nucleotide long non-coding RNA is filed under the name Rattus norvegicus (Norway rat). RNAcentral's name for it is "long non-coding RNA NONRATT017760". The record is from RNAcentral. Lineage: Eukaryota; Metazoa; Chordata; Mammalia; Rodentia; Muridae.
UGCAUCAACAUUCAAGUUCUGCUACUAUCUGGAGAUAGAGCCUUGCCCCUUGGACCACAGUUGUAAUUAACCUAGUGUGUCAACCAUGGGGAAACACUUUCCUAUAUGAUAGGGUUUUUUGUUUGUUUGUUUUUGUUUGUUUUUAGAGAACCCUUCAGUGGCAGUCUCAGUUUCCUGCCACGCCCCUCCCGCGCCCCUCCCCCGCCCCCUUAUUUUAGAUGGAGCCUUUAGUGGAUAGAAUAAAGGUUCCUUUGAUCUCAGUGCACAGUGCCCAUUUCCCUGUUAAUGUGCUUAUUUCUUUUACAGUUAUCUUAAUAUUCUAUUGCUGUGAAGAGAUACCACACCAAGGUAACUCUUACAAAGGAAGCAUCUAAGGGCUUGCUUACAGUUUCAGAGAGUUAGUUCCUUCUCACCGUGGUGGAGUGUGUGGAGACGUGGUGCUAGGAGCAGGAGCUGGGAACCCACCUUGCCUCUGACACCCGCUGAGCCAAGCUGCCACUGUUACAUUCUUCCUGCGGCAGUACGGCUUAGAUAAUUCUGGAGGAUACAAACAACAGCAGCUGCGACACAUGGAGCUAGAAGUAACGAGGGGACGAAUGCAUCCAUCUGAGUUCCACAGCAGAAAAGCUGACAUGUUGGAAUCAAUCGCUGUUGGUAUUGAUGAUGGAAAAACAAAAACUUCUGGAAUUAUUGAAGCCCUCCACAGGUAUUAUCAGAACAUUGCCACAGAUGUAAGGUGUGUGUGGCUGUCUACAG